CGCUGGAGAAGCGGCGGUCGGGGACGGGGCCUCGGCGAGCAGGAGCGCGAGGCGGCCUCGGCCUGGAGAGGGCGCUGCCACGCCACCAGAGUCAACAUCAAAAUCAGAAGUAUCACUUCUAUCAGAUGGAGUAUCUUCCUCAGUCCACAGGCACUGGGAAAAGGGGCUAAGGUCGAGCAACUGUGACCUUUCCCCACUGGCCACCAGAAGACAGGAUUUCAUUUGGUCAGGAUCCUCUUCUAAGCUGAUGAUCUCUUCUGGAAGAGAUGACACCAAAGGGGAUUCUUCUGAGUCAUCGUCAUCAGGAGCUCUCAUAAACACAGAGUUUAAAUUCACAUUAAAGCCAUGAGAUGACCAGUUUGCACUGCCAUGUGCCCUCCACUGAGAUGUGCUGCCUCUCCAGAGCGACUGGACCAAUCGACCAUGGACCAAAACUUCCAAAACUUGAGCCAAAAUAAAAAAAAACCUUUCCUCUUUA
Molecule: long non-coding RNA, 478 nt
Organism: Marmota flaviventris (yellow-bellied marmot)
Lineage: Eukaryota; Metazoa; Chordata; Mammalia; Rodentia; Sciuridae
Source: RefSeq, a predicted model, not a curated record